GUUCCAAAAAGAAUUAGACAGAAAAAAUGGGGGUGAAGUGGUCCCCAGGCCUGAGAGAUGGAGAAUGGAGUGUAAGAAUCGCUGGAUACGCACGGAGAGACCUCAGGAACUCCACAGGCCAGUGUCAGUGGUUGGAACCCAGACGAGGCGAUUCGGACAUACAAAGAGACCCAGGAGUGCAGACACGCAGAGGAGGGACUGUGCGAGGACUCAGCGGGAAGGGGCUACCUGCAAGCCAAGGAGAGACGCUGCAGAAGAAGCCAAACCUGUUGACACCUCGAUCUUGGACUUUCAGCCUCCAGGAGCGGGGGAAGUCCAUUUGCACAUACUGGUCUGUGGUAGUCUGUUAUGGCAGCCCCGGCAAACUGAUGCCGUAGGGUUGGGUAUGAACCGAGUGAGGCGGCUGGAGGGUGAAGCAAAGGAUGGGAAGAGAAGAGACUGUCCCAACAGGCAGGACAGCUGGUGUGCGGCACUGUGCCUAUGUUAAGGACCCUGAGCUUUUUCCCGGAGGCGAAGGGAAGCUUUGGGAGAAUUUUAAGCAAGGAGGUGGCAGAAUCAGAAGGUGUUUCAAGGAGAGCUCCCCAGCGGCGACGAGGAAGGUGGAUUUGAUGAAACAGAAAGAUCAAGUCGGAGGCUGUUGGAUUGGUACCAGCGAGUUAUUAAUGGGACUCAAAUCCAGGGAGACAGCAGUACCAGGAAUGGAGAAGGACCCAGCUGAGAAUACUUACGAGGAAAGUUCAUAGUGCCGGCUGAAACCCUCCCAGGGCAAGGAGCGGAGAGGAGGAGGAAUUGGAAGGCCCCCACUUUUGGCCUGGGACAAGCGUGGGAACGUGAGCCACCACGGAUGAGCUCACUACCAUAGGAGACGAGCAGAUGGGGCCCAGGGAGUGGGGUUACCAGUGAGAGGCCUGUAGGGCCACCAGGAAGACAGGAUGUCAAAUGGGUCGCUAAGCAGUUGCCUCUGAUCUUUGAGGGAGAGUGGAGCCAGCCUGCAGAUGUGGGAGCCUCCAGCAAAGAGGGAAGGGUCUGCUUUUGGGGAAUCCUACCCAUGACAGGGGGUGUAGAUGAGACCACUCCAGGAGGAUGUGUGGCAAAGAGCGGAGCCCCCAAGGGAACACCAGCUCUGAAGAGGCAGGCGAAGAGAAGAGCCUGAAGACGAUGGAGGAGGGACAGCAGAGGGGCACCGGAGAGCCAGAAAAAAGAGAGGCAGAGGGGCUGCCAGGAAAGCCAGGUGACAGAGAUUCCCAGAACGAAGACUUGUCAAUAGUACCAAACAAAGCAGAGGAGUUCCAAUAAUAUAAAGACUGGGGGCGCCUGGGUGGCUCAGUCGUUAGGCGUCUGCCUUCGGCUCGGGUCAUGAUCCCAGCGUCCUGGGAUUGAGCCCCGCAUCGGGCUCCCUGCUCCGUGGGAGGCCUGCUUCUCCCUCUCCCACUCCCCCUGCUUGUGUUCCCUCUCUCGCUGUGUCUCUCUCAAAUAAAUAAAAUCUUUAAAAAAAAAAAAAAAAUAUAUAUAUAUAUAUAUAUAUAAAGACUAGAAUAUGUUUACAGAAUCUGGUGAUCAGAAGGGCAAAAUGACCUCAGGAAAAAAAUAGUUUCCCUAGAUUCAUGACGUUGGCUCACAGUCCCAAGUGAUGGGAACUUCAUUCUCCCUUCAUAAAUGGAUCCUCCCUUCCCUUCUUCCUCAUGGGCAGAAAACCUCACUUAGAUAUACGUAAGUUCUAGAUUUACGUCAAUGCACACACAUUUUCGCUGCCACCUCUGGAACUAGAAAUGUGUCUUUAGUUGUACUGAGACUGACAGGUUGGCUCUCAGGCCUCUGAGAGAUCAGAGAGAUGUGGAUGUUGAUGCGUUGAUAGAACUGAAGGAAGAACAUGGCUGAUGGCGUCGGUUUUCCCUGGGGGACAGGAGGCAAGAGAAGGAAGGGAGAGCGGGGAAGGGGGGAAGGUCUGGACUAGAUACU
Molecule: long non-coding RNA, 1959 nt
Organism: Mirounga angustirostris (Northern elephant seal)
Lineage: Eukaryota; Metazoa; Chordata; Mammalia; Carnivora; Phocidae
Exons: 3
Source: RefSeq, a predicted model, not a curated record